CUACGGGGGGCACCAGUGGGGAAUAUUGCACAAUGGGCGCAAGCCUGAUGCAGCAACGCCGUGUGAGUGAUGAAGGUCUUCGGAUUGUAAACCUCUGUCCUAUGGGAAGAAAAAAAUGACGGUACCAUAGGAGGAAGCCCCGGCUAACUACGUGCCAGCAGCCGCGGUAAUACGUAGGGGGCAAGCGUUAUCCGGAAUCACUGGGCGUAAAGGGUGCGUAGGCGGCCUAUCAAGUCAGAGGUGAAAGGCAUUGGCUCAACCAAUGUAAGCCUUUGAAACUGUUAGGCUUGAGUGCAGGAGAGGUAAGUGGAAUUCCUAGUGUAGAGGUGAAAUUCGUAGAUAUUAGGAGGAACACCAGUGGCGAAGGCGACUUACUGGACUGUAACUGACGCUGAGGCACGAAAGCGUGGGGAGCGAACAGGAUUAGAUACCCUGGUAGUC
RNAcentral lists this ribosomal RNA (441 nucleotides) under uncultured bacterium. RNAcentral's name for it is "partial 16S ribosomal RNA". It matches the Rfam family "Bacterial small subunit ribosomal RNA", at positions 339 to 795 of the family's 1533-position model. The record is from RNAcentral.